RNAcentral lists this ribosomal RNA (743 nucleotides) under Kocuria rhizophila. RNAcentral describes it as "bacterial SSU rRNA". It matches the Rfam family "Bacterial small subunit ribosomal RNA", at positions 106 to 859 of the family's 1533-position model. The record is from RNAcentral. Lineage: Bacteria; Bacillati; Actinomycetota; Actinomycetes; Micrococcales; Micrococcaceae.
GUGAGUAAUACGUGAGUAACCUGCCCUUGACUCUGGGAUAAGCCUGGGAAACUGGGUCUAAUACUGGAUACGACGGCGCAUCGCAUGGUGUGUUGUGGAAAGGGUUUUACUGGUUUUGGAUGGGCUCACGGCCUAUCAGCUUGUUGGUGGGGUAAUGGCUCACCAAGGCGACGACGGGUAGCCGGCCUGAGAGGGUGACCGGCCACACUGGGACUGAGACACGGCCCAGACUCCUACGGGAGGCAGCAGUGGGGAAUAUUGCACAAUGGGCGGAAGCCUGAUGCAGCGACGCCGCGUGAGGGAUGACGGCCUUCGGGUUGUAAACCUCUUUCAGCACGGAAGAAGCGAGAGUGACGGUACGUGCAGAAGAAGCGCCGGCUAACUACGUGCCAGCAGCCGCGGUAAUACGUAGGGCGCAAGCGUUGUCCGGAAUUAUUGGGCGUAAAGAGCUCGUAGGCGGUUUGUCGCGUCUGCUGUGAAAGCCCGGGGCUUAACCCCGGGUGUGCAGUGGGUACGGGCAGACUUGAGUGCAGUAGGGGAGACUGGAAUUCCUGGUGUAGCGGUGAAAUGCGCAGAUAUCAGGAGGAACACCGAUGGCGAAGGCAGGUCUCUGGGCUGUUACUGACGCUGAGGAGCGAAAGCAUGGGGAGCGAACAGGAUUAGAUACCCUGGUAGUCCAUGCCGUAAACGUUGGGCACUAGGUGUGGGGAACAUUCCACGUUUUCCGCGCCGUAGCUAACGCA